GGAGUCUCGGGGUCGCGUGCACCUGGGCGGCCAGGGAGGCUCCAGUGCCCGGGAGAAAGGCAAGAAAACUGAGGCACAGAGAGAUUGUCACACAGCCAGUAAGUUGACUGCAAGGCCUCUGAGGCACGGGAAUUCACAGCUGAGUUCUUGGAGAAGGUCCUUGAGCCAUCUGGAUGGCGGACAGUCUGGCACAUGAUGUGCUCAAGGUGCUGCUUGAGGCCACAGAUGUGGACAUUUCAGCCUUGAAGGCAGUGGUGCAGCUUGCUGAGCCAUACCUCUGUGAAUCUUGAGCGAGUACUUUCACCUUGGAGUGUGUGAAAGAGCUCCUCGAGCUGAAGGAACAUCAGUUGCCCCUGAAGGAGCUGGGUGGUGUUUGAUGAUUCUGGAGACAGCACUUGUAACUUGUAACUGAGCAUGUCAGCUAGGAAGGAUAGCCACUGAGCAAGCCUGUAAGGCUAUUGGUCUGCCCAUUCUGGUUUCUUCACCAAUGAGAAAACUGGGACCUGGGGAGUUUGCAGAAGCCAUCCAAGGGCACCUGCUUCUCACAGCACAGCAGCUUCCUGCAGCCCUCCCUCCUGUCUUGUUUCUCCCUUAAUUGAGAGGAGAGGCCAGAACCAGAUGCAGGCAGUUCCAACAGUAAUGAAUUGCUCUAAGGUGUGGAUCCAAGAACCGGUGACAAGGUCAGGAAAUUCCAUCCCGGGACACUGACCCAACUAAGAGACUGUGCAUGAUGGCUAAGUUCAGAGCUCUGAGGAGAUGGUAAAACUCAUUUGCAACGAAACAAGAUAUUUUCCAACUCUGCAGCCAGGUGCAGAAAGCUGGAAGUGAUGCUCCAGGGAGUUUAUGUCUCCCCAUCUUGACCCACACCAAUACCUGAGGCUCGUUGCUUUGAUUCAAGUCCGGACAAGCUCUAAGGUUCAGCUCACACUGGGAGUCACGCUGCAGGAGCUCCUGGGAGUCUGUGAACGGUGGUGAUGCAGAAAAGCAAAGCGUGUAUAUCUGUUUUAGUCCUCCCUCAGAUCUGCUGAGGACACCUUGAGCCUGAAGUGAAAUCACAGUGGCUCUCAGGAAGAAGGGUGACUGUCUGGUGUGCAGUUGUGCUGCCACGGCAAAGGGAACUUUAAAACAUAGAACUGCCAUGUAGAAGCUCAGGAAAUAUCCAUGGUCUGUCAUCUCUUUUGGUCAUAGAAUCAAAAAAAAUGGAAGACGAGAAAAGGCAGUGAAGACUGACAGCCUGUUGGUUGCUAUUCCAGUCGUGUCUGCUCCAUACGCGCCCUCCAUCUCAUCCCACCCAGUCAGUAUAUUUUCACCAGGCAGUGUUGCAGAAAUGUCUGUGGACUCCAGUUCUAUUGCAGUCAGGCAGCAUUUACAGGUUUGACUUUCAACUGACCAUGGCAGGAAGUCUAGAGGCAAUUAUAGCCAACACCUGCUCUAUGUGCGUGCCGGGCAGGUGGUGGCUGAUUCCUUGCCUCCAAUCCAUGAUGUGUUUCCUAUCAGCUCAGAAUAAUAACAGUGACACCUCUGCUUCUUCUCUGUCUGGGGGAGCUCAAGGCACUUUACUCUGAAAACCCUCAAAUUACUGGCAUUUCUUUUAGUGAAGAUAUCAAAUUAAUGACUGAAAAAAAUGUAGAAGAUGGUUAUUGGUGAUGUUAAAAGACAAGUUUAACCCACUUCCACACAACAUGUCUUACAAGCGUAAAGUAUUUGAGUAGAGAAAACUAUGAAUCUAAAAUUGAACAAGAUGUGAAUUUAGACAGACAGCGUUUGUGGUCACAGAUGUGCCGAGAUGAAGACUGGAGGAAGGGCACAGUUUCUGUAGCAGUGACUUCCACCCAGGGUGUGUCUUGCUAUUGUGUGAAAUGAUUUUUGACACUGGACAAAUCUCUACUUCCACUUACAAUGUUUUGCCAGCUAGCUGAGGCAUUCUGGGAGGGUGAGGAGCCUGGGCUUGGGCUGACCUCAGGAAAUCCUGUGUAAAGGGCUUUUGCACACUCAGAAGCAGGCCAGGUUCACCGCUGUUAUGUGCAAUAUUCACUCCUGGCUCUUGCUUCUGAGCCUUGGCAAACCUGAGUCCUAAGAGGCCAAUGAAAAGGAAAACACGUUAAGGAGCCAGGGCGCUUCUUGGAUAUCAGCCUGAAUAGUUCUGUUUCAUCUGGACCCCAAUUUUACUCUCCUGCUGUUUUACACGGAACUAAAAAGAGCUUUACAGAGGACCAGAUAGACUGCAGGUCCCUAGGCAGUCAGGGGCCAGGCAAGGCAUAGGAGGGUGUCAGGCCUCUGAGCUCAAACUAGGCCAUCAUAUCCCCUGUGACCUGCACGUACACAUCCAGAUGGCUGGUUCCUGCCUUAACUGAUGGCAUUGUCUUGUGAAAUUCCUUCUCCUGGCUCAUCCUGGCUCAAGAGCUCCCCUACUGAGCACGUUGUGACCCCCACUCCUGCCUGCCAGAGAACAACCCCCCUUUGACUGUAAUUUUCCUUUACCUACCCAAAUCCUAUAAAAUGGCCCCACCCCUAUCUCCCUUCACUAACUCUCUUUUCGGACUCAGCCUGCCUGCACCCAGGUGAAAUAAACAGCCUUGUUGCUCACACAAAGCCUGUUUGGUGGUCUCUUCACAGGGACUCGCAUGAAAUUUGGUGCUGUGGCUCGGAUAGGGGGACCUCCCUCGGGAGAUCAAUCCCCUGUCCUCCUGCUCUUUGCUCCAUGAGAAAGAUCCACCUACGACCUCAGGUCCUCAGACCAAGCAGCCCAAGAAACAUCUCACCAAUUUCAAAUCUGGAAAGCAGCCUCUUUUUACUCUCUUCUCCAACCUCCCUCAAUAUCCCUCAACCUCUUUCUCUUUUCAAUCUUGGUGCCACACUUCAAUCUCUCCCUUCUCUUAAUUUCAAUUCGUUUCAUUUUCUGGUAGAGACAAAGGAGACACGUUUUAUCUGUGGACCCAAAACUCCGGCGCCGGUCACGGCCUGGGAAGGCAGCCUUCCCUUGGUGUUAAUCAUUGCAGGGAUGCCUCUCUGAUUAUUCACCCACGUUUCAGAGGUGUCGGACCACACAGGGACGCCUGCCUUGGUCCUUCACCCUUAGUGGCAAGUCCUGCUUUUCUGGGGGAGGGGCAAGAACCCCAACCCCUUCUCUCCAUGUCUCUACCUCUUCUCUGCUUUUCUGGGGGAGGGGCAAGAACCCCUCAACCCCUUCUCCUUCACCCUUAAUGGCAAGUCCCACUUUUCUGGGGGAGGGGCAAGAACCCCUCAACAUCUUGUCCUUCACUGUUAGCAGCAAGUCUCACUUUUCUGGGGGAGGGGCAAGAACCCCUCAAACCCUUGUCCUUCACCGUCAGCAGCAAGUCCCGCUUUUCUGGGAGAGGGGCAAGAACCUCUCAACCCCUUCUCCUUCACCCUUAGAGGCAAGUCCCGCUUUUCUGGGGGAGAGGCAAGAACCCCUUAUUUCCACAGCCCGACCUCUUAUCUCUGUGCCCUGAUCCCUUAUUUCUGUGCCCUGACCUCUUAUCUCUGCACCCCAACCCCUUAUUUCUGCACCCCCACCUCUUUCCCACUUUUCUGGAGGGUAAGAACCCCCGAACCCCUUCCCUCCAUGUCUCUACUCUCUCUUUUCUCUAGCCUUGCUUCCUUCACUAUGGGCAACCUUCCACCCUCCAUUCCUCCUUCUUCUCCCUUAGCCUGUGUUCUCAAGAACUUAAAACCUCUUCAACUCACACCUGACCUAAAACCUAAAUGCCUUAUUUUCUUCUGCAAUGCCGCUUGAUCCCAAUACAAACUUGGCAGUAGUUCCGAAUAGCCGGAAAACAGCACUUUCAAUUUUUCCAUCCUACAAGAUCUAAAUAAUUCUUGUCGUAAAAUAGGCAAACAGUCUGAGGUGCUGACGUCCAGGCAUUCUUUUACACAUUGGUCCCUCCCUAGUCUCUGUUCCCAAUGCAACUCGUCCCAAAUCUUCCUUCUUUCCCUCCCACCUGUCCCCUCAGUCCCAACCCCAAGUGUCGCUGAGUCUUUCUAAUCUUCCUUUUCUACAGACCCAUCUGACCUCUCCCCUCCUCUCCAGGCUGAGCUAGGUCCCAAUUCCUCCUCAGCUUCCGCUCCUCCACCCUGUAAUCCUUUUAUCACCUCGCCUCCUCACACCCAGUCCGGCUUACAGUUUCGUUCCUUGACUAGCCCUCCCCCACCUGCCCAGCAAUUUACUCUUAAAAAGGUGGAUGGAGCUAAAAGCAUAGUCAAGGUUAAUGCUCCUUUUUCUUUAUCCCAAAUCAGACAGCGUUUAGGCUCUUUUUCAUCAAAUAUAAAAAUCCAGCCCAGUUCAUGGCUCGUUUGGCAGCAACCCUGAAAUGCUUUACAGCCCUAGACCCUAAAAGGUCAAAAGGCCAUCUUAUUCUCAAUAUACAUUUUAUUACCCAAUCUGCUCCCGACAUUAAAUAAAACUUCAAAGAUUAAAUUCCAGCCCUCAAACCCCACAACAGGAUUUAAUUAACCUUGCCUUCAAGGUGUACAAUAAUAGAGUAGAGGCAGCCAAGUAGUAACAUAUUUCUGAGUUGCAAUUCCUUGUCUCCACCAUGAGACAAACCCCAGCCACAUCUCCAGCACACAAGAAUUUCCAAAUGCCUAAACCGCAGUGGCCAGGCAUUCCUCCAGCACCACCUCCCCCAGAAGCUUGCUACAAGUGCCAGAAAUCUGGCCACCAGGCCAAGGAAUGCCCGCAGCCCGGGAUUCCUCCUAAGCCAUGUCCCAUCUGUGGGGGACCCCACUGGAAAUCGGACUGUUCAACUCACCUGGCAGCCACUCCCAGAGCCCCUGGAACUCUGGCCCAAGGCUGUCUGACUGACUUCUUCCCAGAUCUUCUCGGCUUAGUGGCUGAAGACUGACAUGCCCGAUCGCCUCAGAAGCCCGAUAGACCAUCAUGGAUGCCGAGCUUUAGGGAGAAACGCGAAUGGAUGCGAGGUGGUGCAAAAUCCACAAAGGAGCUCCAGGGGACGUGGCAGGAUCCCUCUGCUAUGACUGUGCUGCAUAAGAGUCUGAGCCCACGCCAACCUAGAGUGAUUCUAAAGACCAUUUCCACAUGGAGAAGCUGCCAGAACAAGCACUGCUACCCUUGGAGGCCAUUGACAUUGUGAGGUCGCUGGGACUGAAAGGAGGUUGACCAGAAGUUCUGUUUGGCAAUGCAAAGCCAGGAGGAAAAGUUAAUGGAGUUUGUCCCCCGGGUCCCAAGAAAGCUGACCCAGGACGAUGAAGCUAGAAUUUGUGUUCUAGGAGGUGCUGCUUCUUCCAGGAAAGUCUACUCAAAGCACACACUGUGAGCUGCUGCAUGUCUCUUGAGCUAGUUCACUGCAGUUUUCAUGAUGAAAGUGAUCUGUUUCAGUAAACUUUCUGUUAUUUGAGAGCAUGGGAAAAAUAUUUGCUGUGAUUUCCCAAUUCCCCAUUUUUUCUGAUUCUUUGUUGCAGUUUCCACAACUUUGUUAUCAGGCUGUGACAGAGGUUUGUGAACUGAUGAAAGCUCCAGAGCCUCCCAGGCCCUCUGAGUCUGAUGCCUGCACUCCACAAUCAGGCCUCAAGCUCAGGGCGCCUGCCACCAACCCACGCUGGGCUUCAGGGGCAGGCAGCACUUGAAUGGGGUUUGGUUAUUGUCUUUCUUUAUUUUCUCUUAUUUUAAGCCUUAAAAAAAAAAAGAUAAGGUCUUGCUCUAUUGCCCAGGCUGGAGAGAAAUGGUGUGAUCAUAGCUCACUGCAGCUUUGAAUUCCUGGGUUCAACCGAUCCUCCCACCUAAGCCUCCCGAGUAACCAGGACUGCAAGUAUGCACCACCACACCCAGUUAAUUAAAUUUGUGUGUGUGUGUGUGUGUAGAGGUGGGUUCUUGCUUUGUUGCCCAGGCUGGUCUUGAACUCUUGAGUUCAGACAAUCCUGCCACCUCAACCUCACAAAGUGCUGGAAUUACAGGCGUGAGCCACUGCACUCAGCCUCCUUAAGCCAUUUGCUUAAGUGGCUUUAUUGCAAAACAAUAUCAGAAUAACAAAGAAAUAUAAGGUCAAACUUUCCCUGUUCCCAUCUAGUCCAAUAAGCAUUGCUGCUCUUGCCAGGGAUUCUCGCCCAUCUCCAUGUGCCAGUGCAAUCCAUACUGGUUGUUCUCCUUGGCUACCCCACAUCUGAGUCUCUGCCUUGUCUGCAUUCUUCCCCACUUUAUGAAGAGAUGAGUCAGUGCCUGAUUUUUUCUGCCUCUCUUGUCACUAGGGCACAGCCAUGUGCAUGGGCCCUGUCACUCAGAAGCCCCCAUCCACCAACAACAUGGCUCUGGGGGCCUCCUCUCUCUGGAAGAAUUGGCAGUUUUAGCAAGAAAGGUUUUCAGAGGCAGCAAUGAUGGUGGAGAUGUCCAGGGCCAGUGGCAGGUCAAACCAUUCUCUGUGUCAUUUGGGGCAGUGUUUAUGCUGUCCCUCAUUUUGGUUCCCUAAGCCUCCGAACAUGUACGUGAAUUUCCGAAUAUUCUCAAUUAAAUUGUUUUUCUGUUGAAAUUGGCCUGGUUGCUUUCAACUAUGACAAACCUAGCUAUAUAAGUAUUAUUUUGUAGUGUUGGGAUUGAUAGAACUUUAUGUUCUACACAUUAGCAGAAUACCAUGUGUAUUUUUCCAUUUGACAUAAUCUUUUAUCUUUCCAUUGAUAAGUAUUAUUACUAUUUAGUGAUAUAUUAUUUGAGUUCUCUUGCCCCUUUUGGGUAGCCCAUGUUAACAGUAAUACCCAGCUGCUACACUGAGAGCCUCUGAGACUUACUGGCUUCAGGGGAGACAGCACAUUAUCAGCUGUGGUGGCCAUGGCCGAGACUCCUUUUGCCUGAGAAAAGCAGAGGAAAAUGUAGAAGGGACUUCGUCUUGCAUCUGAGACACCAGCACAGCCACAGGGUGGUAGAGCACCAAGGGGGCUUUUGGAAUCUUUGAUUCUGGGAUGUGGCUCUUGGAAGGCAUUUCUGGACUUGCCCUGGGCCAGGGGGAGCCCACUGUCUUAAAGGGUGAGUCCCAGGCCAGGCAGCAUUUGCCACAGUCGACUGAAGAGCCCUGGGGGCCUUCAAGGGACAUAGAAGGUAAUCUGAAAGUACUCCGCAUAGGCCUGUGGGGUGGUGGCCAUGGGGCAAGGCUGCCCUGCCUCUGGAAAGGGUAGGAGAGAGUGAGAAAGACUGCAUCCUGUUGUCCGAGUGCCAGCUCAGCCACAGUACAAUAGAACACCAGCUAGGCUCCCAGCCAGCACCUCUGGACCAGCCUGGAAACUGGGGGUAACUCAUCGCCCUGAAGGGAAGGACAAAGGCCUGGCUGGCUUUGCCGUCUGCUGAUUGUUGAGCCCUAGGCGGGGAGCGGUUACAGUCGGCCUUGGGUGAGACUCAGAGCUGCACUGGCUUCAGGUCUGACUCAGCACAGUCACAGUGAUGGUGGCCACAGGGGUGCUUAUGUCACUCUAUCCCAGCUUUAGGUGGCUCAGAACAGACACACUCCAUUUCUUUGGGAGAAAGUAAGAAAGAGAACAAGAGUCUCUCUGAUAAUCCAGAGAGUUCUCCCAGAUCUUGUCCAAGAUCAUCAAGGCAAUACCACUGAGUCUGCAAAAACUGCAGUGUUACUGGGCUUGGGGUGCCCCCUAAAACAGAUACAACUUAGAUCACAACACCCAUGGCCUUUUAAAUAUGUGAAAAGCCUUCCCAAGAAGGACGGGUACAAACAAGCCCAGAUAGCAAAGGCUACAAUAAAUACCUAACUCUUCAAUUCCAGACACAAAUGGACACCUACAAGUAUCAAGACAUUCCAGGAAAAAAAUGACCUCACCAAAUGAACUAAAUAAAGCAUCAGGGACCCAUCCUGAAGAAACAGAUACGUGACCUUUUAGACAGAGAAUACAAAAUAGCCACUCUGAGGAAACUCAAAGAAAUUCAAGAUAACACAGAGAAGGAAUUCAGAAUUCUAUCAGAUAAAUUUAACAAAGAGAUUGAAAUCAUUCAAAAUGAUCAAACAGAUACUGUGGAGAUAAAAAAUGGAAUUGGCAUACUAAAGAAUGCAUCAGAGUCUUAAUAAUAGAAUUAAUCAAGUAGAAGAAAGAAUUAGCUUGAAGACAGGCUAUUUCAAAAUACACAGUUAGAGGACUCAAAAGAAAAUAGAAUAAAAAAUAAUGAAGCAUGUCAAAGAAUCUAGAAAAUAGCCUCAAAAGGACAAAUCUAAGAGUUAUUGGCCUUAAAGGGGAGACAAAGAAAGAGAUAAGGGUAGAAUGUUUAUUCAAAGGGAUAAUAACAGAGACUUUUCGAAACCCGGAUAAUAAUAUCAAUAUCCAAGUACAAGAAAACAGAACACCAAGCAGAUUAAAUCCAAAGAAGACUGCCUCAAGGCAUUUAAUAAUCAAAUUCUAAAGAUCAAGGGUAAAGAAAGGAUCCUAAAAGUAACAAGGGAGAAGAAACAGAUAACAUACAAUGGAUCUCCAGUAUGUCUUGCAGUGGACUUUUCAGUGGAAACCUUAAAGUCCAGGAGAGAGUGGCACAACACAUUUAAAGUGCUGAAAGAAAGAAACUUUUACCCUAGAAUAGUAUAUCCAGCAAAAAUAUUCUUCUAACAUGAAGAAAAAAUAAAGACUUUCCCAGGCAAACAAAAGCUGAGGGAUUUUAUCAGCACUAGACCUGUCUUAUGAGAAAUGCCAAAGGGAGUACUUCAAUCAGAAAGAAAAGGAUGUUAGUAAGUAAUCAUGCGAAAGUACAAAAUUCAUGGGUAAUAGUAAGCACACAGAAAAACACAGAAUUUUAUAUCCCUGUAACUGUGAUGUGUAAACUACUAUUAUUCUAAGUAGAAAAACUAAAUGAUGAACCAAUCAAAAAUAAUAACUAUAACAAUUUUUCAAGCCAUAGACAGUACUAUAAGAUAUAAAUAGAAACAACAAAAAGUUUAAAAUCAGGACAAAGUUAAGACGUAGAGUUUUUAUUAGUUUCCUUUUUUUUUGCUUCUUUGUUUCUUUGUUUAUGCAAACAAUGUUAAGUUGUUAUCAGCUUAAAGUAACAGGUCAUAAAGAAGCCAGUCAUGGUGUCUCACACUUGUAAUGCCAGCACUUUGAGAGUCCAAGGUGGGUGGAUCACUUGAGGUCAGAAGUUUGAGACCAGCCUGGCCAAUAUGGCGAAACCCCAUCGCUACUAAAAAUACAAAAAUUAGCCAGGUAUGGUGGCACAUGCCUGUAAUCCCAGCUACUCAGGAGGCUGAGGCAUGAGAACCCAGAAUGUGGAGGUUGAAGUAAGCCAAGAUCACACCACUGUACUCCAGCUUGGAUGACAGAGCAAGACUCUGUUUCAGAAGGAAAAAAAAAAGUCAUAAGAUAGUAUUUGCAAGCCUCAUAGUGACCUCAAACCAUAAAAACAUACAAUGAAUACACAAAAAGUAAAAAGCUAGAAACUAAAUCAUAUUACUAGAGAAAAAUCACUUUCACUAAAGGAAGGAAAGAAAGAAGGCAGAGAACAUCACAGAACAACUAGAAAACAAGUUAACACAAUGGCGGGAGUAAGUUCUUACUUAUCAAUAUUAACAUUGAUUGUAAAUAAGAACACCAAUAAAAUGAAAGAUUACAUCAAGUUAAAAAGUUAAAAAGCUUCUGCACAGCAAAGGAAACAGUCAAUAAAGUGGUAACCCCGCAGAGUGGGCAAAAAAUAUUUGCAAACUACCCAUGUGACAAGGGAUUAAUAACCAGAAUAUAUAAGGAGCUCAAACAACUCUAGAGAAAAACAAAUCUAAUAAUCUGAUCAAAAAAUAGGCAAGAUAUUUGAAUAGACAUUUCUCAAAAAAGACAUACAAAUGGCAAACAGUCAUAUGAAAAGGUGCUCAACAUCAUUGAUCAUCAGAACAAUGCAAAUAAAAACUACAAUGAAAUGUCAUCUCAUCCCUGUUAAAAUCGAUUGUAUCCAAAAGACAGGCAAAAACAAAUGCUGGUGAAAUGUGGAGAAAAGGGAACCCUCAUACACUGUUGGUGGGAAUGUAAGUUAGCCCAACCACUAUGAAUAGUGGUUUGAAGGUUCCUCAAAAAGCUAAAUAUGGAGCUACCAUAUGGUUCAGCCAUCCCACUGCUGGGUAUAGACCCAAAAGAAAGGAAAUCAGUAUAUUGAAGAGAUGUCUGCACUCCCGUGUUUGUUUCAGCACUGUUCACAGUAGCAAAGAUUUUGAAACAACCCAAGUGUCCCUCAAUAGAUGAAUAGAUAAACGAAAUGUGGUGCUUUUACACAAUGGAGUACUGUUCAGCCAUAAAAAUGAAUGAGAUCCUGUUCUUUACAACAACAUGGGUGGAAAUGAAGAUCAUUAUAUUAAGUGAUAUAAGCCAGACACAGAAAGACAAACAUUACAUCUUCUCAUGUACUUAUGGGAUCUGAAGAUCAAAAUAAUUGAACUCCAUGGACAUAGAGAGUAGAAGAAUGGUUACCAUAGGCUGGGAUUAGUAGUGGGACAGGUGGGGCAGGGGGCAGGUUAGGACAGGUAAUAGGUACAAAAAUAAUAGGAAGAAUGAAUAAGACCUACUAUUUGUUAGCAUAAAAUGGUACUUGUAAUCAAUUACACUUAAUUAUAUGUUUUAAAAUAACUCAAAGAGUAUAAUUGGAUUCUUUGUAACACAAAGAAUAAAUGUUUGAGGAGAUGGAUACCCUAUUCAGCAUGAUGUGUUAUUAUGCAUUGCAGGCCUGUAUCAAAGCAUUUCAAGUACGCUAUAGAUAUAUACACCUACUAUGUACUCACAAAAAUUAACAAAUUAAAAAAUUAAAGAAAACAGAGUGAGAAUGGGAUGGUGAGCAGGUGGUAUAAGGUAUAUGAUAUUGGUGUUCAGACUGUUAUCCAAAACCCUAAGAAUAGGCCAGGUGCGGUGGCUCACACCUGUAAUCCCAGCACUUUGCGAGGCUGAGGCGGGUAGAUCAUGUGGUGAGGAGUUCAAGACCAGCCUGGCCAAGAUGGUAAAACCCUGUCUCUAGUAAAAAUACAAAAAUUAGCCAGGCAUGGUGGUGGGCGCCUGUAAUCCCAGCUACUUAGGAGGCUGAGGCAGAGAAUUGCUUGAACCCAGGAGGCAGAGGUUGCAGUGAGCUGAGAUCAUGCCACUGCACUCCAGCCUGGGCAACAGAGCGAGACUCUGUCUCAAAAAAAAAAGGCAAAAAAAACAAAAAAAUAAAAAACCCAACCCGUCCUCCCCCCCCCCCCCCCCGCAAAACCCUAAGAAUAAAGUUCAGUCAUUUUUUUUGCAAAUACUACUUGGGACCAACAUGGUGCCUGCUACACACGAGGCAUUUGAUUAAUCUGUGUUAAGCGAAUAAAAGAAUCUAGCUAAAGUCAUUAUAGCUAACAUCAUCAUACCUAAUGUUGAUUCUAAGAAGACUAAUAUUAUAUAUUGAAAUCUACAGUAAUCAGAUGUGUUAGUAGGAAAUAAUAUUAUUAACAUAAUCCAGGAGCAUGAAUUUAAUUCUCCCACUAAUAUACUCUUCAAUCAAUAGAGUGCGUCCUCUUUAUGGCUGUGUCCCUACUGUAUGGAAUGCUUGAAAUAAAAGGCAGUAGUUUAAGGAGUCUCACUCUGCAGCUCUCUUCUUUAAAUAUAGACAGUUUAUCUGCCAUGGUGGGGGUCUUCUGGAAGUUCUCUCGCCUACAAAGCAGGCAGUCAUCAUUUUAAUAUUUAUUCAUCACCAUUUAGAUGGCAGGAUUUAUGUUAAGAAAUCGGGUGAACAAAACAGACGUGGUCUUUGCCUUGCAGAGUUUACAAUCUGAUGGGGGAGAUGGGAAUUAAAAAGCCAAAUCCUUAACAUGAGAUAUGACUCUAACUGUUUCAAGGACUAAGAAGAGAGAAUGAAAGAAGAGGCCAAUUUUUGAUCAGGGGAUGAGGCAAGACCUCUCCGAAUAUGUUGCUUUUAGGGAGACUGUCCCUGACAUUUGAAUCAGAAUGAAUGAAUGGUUUUGACCAUGUUGACUGUGUUAUAAAGAAAUCAUCCCAAAGAUGCUUUGCAUCUAGUAAAACGCUCAAUACAUAUUAGCAAUGACUGUGAUACACACUUUUACGGUCAUCUUCUCAUGGCCUUAUCAACAUGCUGUAGGCCCAUGAGUAGACUUACUGGGUAUGGCUUUCCCAAGGUACAGAUUUAUAAAUGAAUUGGCUGAGACUUGAACGUAAUUUUCCUUAUGGCUACAUCGGUGCUUAUUUCUCCAAAGCUAUUUUGGAAUGGAGCAUGCAGUUAUUGGGGUCUAUGCAUUAUCUUCAUGAGCAUGUAAGUUGCUUGGGGGAACUCUUCCCACAGCUCUGUUAAAGCAGUCAAGCCCUUGUGCCAAGCUCGGGGGCGCUUCAUGUGCACCUUGCUAAAUUCAAGGACAGUUGGGCCAUUCAGGAAGCACAUGGAGUUGGGUGUGACAUGCCUCUUUCUUCUCCCUUCUGACUCUGUCAUUUCUUAAAGACUCUCAUGAAACUAAUGACAAGAUGAGGCAAGAAAUCACAUUACACUUUAUAAGGGGCUAAUUAGGUAGAUAUGUUAAAAAGUGUUCCCCGUGGUGCUGUUUCACGGUUGCGCUGUUGGUAAUCAGCACUUGCCUUCAGAAUGUCAGGAUAUGAAAAGCGGAGUGGCUUGCCUUGCUGGGUUCUGCUGCGCAGAUGAAAUGAGUGAAGUGGAGUCUUGGGAAUGUGCUCCUCUAGCAGAGUGCGAGUCCUUUGAAGGGAUACUUUCGUCUGGUAGUGUAUAUACUUUGGUCCUGGCUGAUCCUUUGAGCAUUCAAGCAGAUGUACAAGCUCUUCAAGAGAUCCCUCCAGCCUCCAGUAUAGAGUUUCCUUGGCUUAAAUAAGAUGUUUAUGGGCUGGUGCUAGGGGGUGGUGGGGAGUCCAGGUGAAAAGCUUUUGGAGGUUGAGGUGGGCUUCUCAGCUGACUCUGAAUUAGCACAUCCAUCCAUGAACAGCAGGCCCCUAGACAGAUAUUGGUCAUGCUGAGAUUCAAAGUGGGGAGACGCACUUUUCCCAAAAAGAAAAACCUGUCGCACCAUUUGCCUUCAGUGUGCUUCAGGCUGAAAACCUAAACAGCCAUGCUAUCAGUUCUGGGUGAGCAGACUAUACCAGGGGAAGAAUGGAAAUGAGAGUGAGGAAGUUCCUGGAGCACAUCUGGGUUGAGGACACACAGGGAGAAUGAUCAGAACCAUCCCUGGCUCAUCUUUGGGGCCUGUUAGGGUUCCUACCCUGCAAACAACAGUGUCUGAAUAAUCUAUGUUAAAAGGGAUUUAUGGGACAUAUAAUGUGGGCUGAAGAAACGGGUUUGGGAAGCUCAAGAUGCCCAAGGAUGGGAAAUCUUCGUCCCCUCCAUGUGGCUGGCAACAUGUGGCCACUGCUGCCACUGCAGAGGACAACUCGAGUGAUUCUGGAUUCUAAGUACUCAAAGUCCUGGAGGAACCAUCUGGGUAGGGGGCUUGGGCCACAGACCCAUUCCCAAAGAGUAAGGAGUCCCCUUUUACUCUCUUCAGUGAGAGACAAGAUGCUGGGGAGGUUUGCCUCAAGGACAUGACAUGAAAAGAGUAGGUCACCAAAUGAAAUCCAGCUGCUUUUAGAAGGGGAAAUGAACACUAGGCAGCCAGAAAGUGACAAAGGACAAGUAUGCCUGGGUGGGUGCAGAGUCUUGGGCCUCAGGGACCCUGGCACUGAGUGGGAACCUGGUCUGUGCUCGGAUCUCCUGCUGAAACUCAGCCAGCUCUCUGCUCAGCCAGGCACUCCUGUGCUGUCCAAUAGAGUGGCCGCUACCCACAUGUGCUGAUUUAAAUGUAAAUAAAUUAAAAGUGUAUAGAAUUAAAUGUCCAGUUCCUCAGUUGCACCUGCCACAUUCAAGUGCUCACGGGUCUUACAUGGCUAGUGGCUGCCACAUGGGCUGAUAUGGAUAAAAAUAUUUCUGCCAUUUUAAAGUGUUUUAUGAGAUAGCUGUAGAGGUUCAAUAGCCAACCAGGCCUUUCUCCUUAUCUCCGUCUUAUAGGACAUCAAUUCCAAGGACGUUUUACCCUAUGUUUGUCUAUGGAAAGAGAUUGGGCAUCAGAUGUGGAAAUGAGAAAUUAUAUUUACAUAUUUUGCCUUUUUCUGUUUUUGUUGGUGGGUGAUAUGACAACAUGGGUAAAUGCAG
This 14098-nucleotide long non-coding RNA is filed under the name Homo sapiens (human). RNAcentral's name for it is "non-protein coding lnc-UQCRFS1-3:17". The record is from RNAcentral. Lineage: Eukaryota; Metazoa; Chordata; Mammalia; Primates; Hominidae.